Pteronotus mesoamericanus is the source of this 425-nucleotide non-coding RNA. NCBI's taxonomy places the organism in Eukaryota, Metazoa, Chordata, Mammalia, Chiroptera, Mormoopidae. The record is from the annotation of a RefSeq genome assembly.
CACCCAGAGCCAUACCGUCCCCUACAGAAGUCUUUACAGCACAGCCUCUCACCAUGGACUGGAGCUGGAUAGCCCUCUUCCUGGUGGCAGUGGCAACAGGUGUCCAGUCCCAGGUGCAGCUGGUGCAGUCUGGGUCUGAGUUGAAGAGACCUGGUUCCUCAGUGAAGGUCUCCUGCAAGACUUCUGGAUACACUUUCACCAGCUACUAUAUGCACUGGGUACGACAGGCCCCAGGACAAGGGCUGGAGUGGAUGGGACGAAUCGACCCUGAAGAUAGUGAAACAAAGUACGCCCAGAAGUUCCAGGGCAGAGCCACCAUAACUGCAGAUAUUUCCACAACCACAGCCUACAUGGAGCUGAGUAACCUGAGAGCUGAGGACACGGCAGUGUAUUACUGUGCUACAGACACAGUGAUCGAAAGUUAA